This 7421-nucleotide long non-coding RNA is filed under the name Nicotiana tabacum (common tobacco). RNAcentral describes it as "long non-coding RNA (NTAB_LNC006684)". The record is from RNAcentral. Lineage: Eukaryota; Viridiplantae; Streptophyta; Magnoliopsida; Solanales; Solanaceae.
UUUCACUCACCCAACACACAAAAGGGAGAUAGAUCUGAAAAUAGAGAGAAGGGGGAGGGGGAAAAACAGAGACAAAAAGAAAGAGAGAUAGACGGAACAGACCCCUCUUCUACAGAGAACCCUAGCGCCGCCCCUAUCUCACUCUCAUUCUUUCACUCCCACACCCUCCUCUCAUCACACACGCGAAAAGGCACUCAAUAUAGGCUAGAAACAAAACUUUCAAAAGCUCAGAAUUCUUAAAGUGCUAUUUGAAGUUUCGAAAAAAAGGAAAUUAGCUAAAAAAUACAUAGAAAAGCUUCAACAAAGGAUUGAGAUCGGAAAUUAAAAAAAAACAGUAAUGAAAGGGAAUUUCAAAAUAAUUCUAUCUCCUACUGUUCACUCUGCAUCUCCUGGGCUAUCAACACCUCGAGAGUUGUUGUGGGUUUUUUGAGCUUUUCCGAUCUUAGUCGUCGGUUCGAGUUCUUGUCGCAGUUCGACUUGCCGUUUCUGAAAUUUUAAAGCUCCGGUGGAACUUCUAAUAUUAUUGAAGAGAAUUGUUCAAUAAAAGGUUCGUUUCUUAGUUUUUUUUAUUUUUCUUUUUGGAUAUUGAUUCAUAUAAUGUUUCGCUGUAAUUUUUUUUUCUUUCCGAAUUUUCUUCUUUGUUAUCUAUUAAUUUUGGUUGAUGUUUGUCUUAUGCGUAUUGGUGUACUGCUUUCAUUUGGUUAAUUAUAAAGGUUAUAAUGGUUACCGUUUCAUCUUUCUUUAUGUCGGCUAUUUUCUUUCAUUGAUUUGGAUUAUGUGUGAGAAUAUCUCUACUUGCUUUUUUUUUUAGUUCAGAAUGUAUAAUGUUUUGAGUCUUCCAAUUUUGAUUAGAAUUUUUAUUGCUCAUUUGUGAAAGAUUUAAUGGCAGUAGGUUGUGUUUUAGUUUGUGCUAUAACAAAUUGAGUUAUGGGUUUUAGCUUAAUUAUUCAUAGGUUGUUCGGAAAAUAUUUGAGAAAGCCAUAGGAUUUGUUUGAGAAUUAAUUUGGGCAUGUGAGGUUUUAAUUUGAUGUAAUAGACCUAAUGGUUUAUUUUUGUUUGGUCCAAUUUAAUAAGGGUAAAAUUGUUGUUAACUUACUUAUUAAGGAUGUGUUGAACUCAUAUACCUUUCCACAAUAAUACUUUAUCAUAAAUCACGAUCUCAAAACAAUCUCAAAUGUAGUAAUUAAUCAUGAACAUCGUAGCUUGCUUUAGACGCAAAUAAUAAAUCAUCGUGACCAUGGGUACGGUUCCCGUGGCAUGGUCACGAUACGUAAAUCCCAAUUCGAGUGUGCGUUUCACGUGAAUCGAUCAGAACUUCAAACAAUAAUAAUAAAAGUAAACAUGUUGUAAAUCGCGGGUGCAUUUCAUGUGGUGCGGUUUGCAAUGUGUAUCAAAACGACAAGUGUACGACAUCGUGACUUGUUCCAGAAAUAAAUUUCAUAAAUAUUAAAAGCGAUAUAAAAGCGGUAAUGCACAAAAGGUUUCAAAUAUGUAUAAAUCAGAUAACUAGGCCAAUUAUUACUAGUUAAGCGACCGUGCUAAAACCACGGAACUCGGGAGUGCCUCACACCUUCUCCCGGGUUAACAGAAUUCNNNNNNNNNNNNNNNNNNNNNNNNNNNNNNNNNNNNNNNNNNNNNNNNNNNNNNNNNNNNNNNNNNNNNNNNNNNNNNNNNNNNNNNNNNNNNNNNNNNNNNNNNNNNNNNNNNNNNNNNNNNNNNNNNNNNNNNNNNNNNNNNNNNNNNNNNNNNNNNNNNNNNNNNNNNNNNNNNNNNNNNNNNNNNNNNNGACUCUGAUAAAUAAAUAAUCCCAUUUCGAUUAAUGUCACUUAAUUUGGAAAAAUUCCCUUAUCCCAUAUCCUCUUCGGUAAAAAGGAGGUGUGACACAUAGCAGUCCCAUUGACUAGAUUGACCCAAAAGGGGUGCUCCAUUUAGGUGGUCGGAUGAGUGUGAGUUGAGCUUUCAGAAGCUCAAGACUGCUUUGACUAUAGCGCCAGUGUUGGUGUUGCCCACAGGUUUAGGAUCCUACAUGGUGUAUUGUGACACAUUGUGUAUUGGGCUCGAUGCAAUAUUGAUGCAGGAUGGCAGGUGAUUCUAUACAUGUCACGGUAGUUCAAGUUUCAUGAGAAGAAUUAUCUUGUUCAUGACUUAGAGUUAGCAUCCAUUGUUCUUGCACUAAAGAUUUGGAGGCACUAUCUUUAUCGCGUGUCGUGUGAGGUAUUCACGGAUCAUUGGAGUCUACAGUAUUUGUUCAAGCUAAAGGAUCUCAACUUGAGGAAAAGGAGGUGGUUAGAGCUGUUGAAAGAUUAUGAUAUCACCAUUUUGUAUCAUACCGGGAAGGUCAAUGUGGUGGCCGAUGCCUUGAGUAGAAAGGUUAUGAGUAUGGGUAACCUGACGUUUAUUCCAGUUGGAGAGAGGCCGCUAGUAUUAGAUGUUCAGGCUUUGGCCAAUCAAUUCGUGAGGUUAGAUAUUUCAGAGCCCAGUUAUGUUCUAGCUUGCACGGUCUCUCGGUCUUCUUUAUAUGAACACAUCAGAGAGUGUCAGUAUGAUGACCCCCAUUUGCUUGUUCUUAAGGACAUGGUAUGGCACGGUACUGCAAAGCAGGUUAAUAUUAGAUAUGAUGGGGUGUUGAAGAUGCAGGGUCGGAUUUGUGUGCCUAAUGUGGAUGGGCUUCAUGAGUUGAUUCUUGAGGAGGCCCAUAGUUCCCGGUAUUCCAUUCAUCUGCGUGCCGCAAGGAUGUAUCAAGACUUGCGGCAGCAUUAUUGGUAGAGGAGAAUGAAGAAGUAUAUAGUUGCAUAUGUGGCUUGGUGUCUGAAUUGUAAGCAAGUAAAGUACGAGCAUCAGAGGCCUGAUGGUUUGCUUCAGAGGCUAGAGAUCCCCGAGUGGAAGUAGAAGCAUUAGGGUUGUUCAAAAUCAAACCAUAACUGUUAACCGAAUCGAUGGUUUAUUAGCUUAUUGGUAUCGGAUUAUCGGGAUAAUGGAUGGCGAACGGAUUGAGAUUUUAUAAUUAACGGCUUAACAGUUUGGGGGCGGAUUACUCAAUUUUUUUAUCGGAUAAAUCGUUAACCCGUUAAGAAUUUUUAUAUUUACACUUUUACCUUUAUUGAGUAUUCAAAAAAUUUGUUCCAGAGUAAUAGAUCCCACAGUAUACUAUGUACAUGUUGGAUAUGAGAACAACAUAUACAUUAAAACAGAGAAAGUGCAGCAAGAUGCUAUGAUAAAAAAAAAUAGCCAAUGAGAAGUGAUAAUUAAGGUUGCUGCUUCAUUUGGGUGCAGUGAUUGAGAUAGUCUCAUAUCCAACAUGUACAUAAUAUACUAUGGGAUUUAUUGUCAUGUGCACAUAAAAUGCCUCGAAUAUACAUUAGAAAAACAUAUGACCGAGUUGUGAAGCUAGAGCAGCAAGAUACUAUGAUAAAAAAUUUAUUUGGUUUAGCCAAUAAACCGUCCGAUAACCUUCCGAUAAUCGUUAAUCUGAUACCAAUCCGCCCGUUAUCUUAUUGGAUGGUUAGCGUAUCACUAUAUUUAUAAUCCGAUAAGCCGAACUGUUAAGCGUAAUUAUCUGCUCGAUAAGAACCCCUAGGGAGCAUAUUACCAUGGAUUUUAUUGUUGGGCUCCCACAGACUUAGAAGAAGUUUGACGCAGUAUGGGUCAUUGUGGAUAAGUUGACCAAGUCGGCACAUUUUAUUCCAGUGGCAAUUACCAUUCUUCAUAGCGGUUGGCUGAGAUCUAUAACCGCGAGAUCGUACGUCUUCACGGUGUGCCCAUGUCUAUCAUUUAUGAUUGAGGUACGCAGUUCACUUUGCAUUUCUGGAGGGUCGUACAUCGUGAGUUAGGAACACGGGUUAAGUUGAGUACAAUAUUUUACCCCCAGACGGAUGGACAGUCUAAGCGCACCAUUCAGAUAUUGGAAGAUAUGCUUCGCACUUCCUUUAUGGAUUUCGGGGGUUCUUGGGAUCAGUUCUUGCCACUUGCGGAGUUUGCCUACAACAACAUCUACAAGUUGAGUAUUCAUACGGAUCCCUAUGAGGCAUUGUACUGGAGGCGGUGCCGUUCGCCAGUUGAUUGGUUUGAGCCGGGAAAAGCUCAGUUGUUGGGUAUCAAUUUGGUUCAGUAUGCCUUGGAAAAGGUCAAAAUGAUUCAGGAUCGACUUCGCACAGCUCAGUCUAGGUAGAAGAGUUACACCGACCGUAGAGUUCGUGAUGUUGCAUUCAUGGUUGGGAAGAGGGUAUUUCUUCGGGUUUUCCCCAUGAAGGGUGUGAUGAGUUUCGAAAAGAAGGGCAAGUUGAGCCCUAGUUAUAUCUCACCUUUUGAGAUUCUUGAGUGAGUGGGUGAGGUGGCCUACAAGCUUGCAUUGCCACCAAGUUUAUCAGUAGUCCAUCCGGUGUUCCAUAAGUGCAUGCUCUGAAAGUAUCACGGUGAUACGUCCCAUAUGUUAGAUUUCAGUUCAGUCUAGUUGGACAAGGAUUUGACUUAUGGGGAGGAGCCGGUGGCUAUUCUAGUCCGACAAGUCCGAAAGUUGAGGUCUAAGAGUUAUCCUUCAGUUGAAGUAUAGUGGAGAGGUCAGCCGAUCGAUACAACCACGUGGGAGUCCGAGUUUGACAUGCGGAGUAGAUAUUCACAAUUUUUCACCAAUCCAGGUACCUUUCUAUGUUCGUUUGAAGACGAACGUUUGUUUAGAGGUGGAGAAUGUGAUGACCCGAUAGGUCAUUUAUAGUUUUUGCCUUCAUUUCUAUGCUCCGAUACUUUGAUUAGCUCCAUUUUACGUAUCUCGAUUUGCGUGCGUAGUCUAUGUCUUAUUUCAGAAAAUUUUUAUGUGAAAAUUUUAAAAAAAUGCGAAUUUUAACCUUUAAAAUGAUUUGAGUUGACUACGGUCAACAUUUUGCAUAAACGGACCCAGAUCAGUAUUUUGACGGUCCCGGUGGGUCUGCAUCGUGAUUUGGGACUUAGUCAUAUGCCCAAAAUUUAAUUCGGAAGUCCCUAACUUGUUUUGAAUCAUUUUACCGAAAUCUAGCAUUUUUGAAAGUUCAAGAAUUUCAAGGUUUAACAGGUUCAGAUUUUGAUGUUAAAAUUUGGAAUAGUUCCGUAUUGCUAUUUGACACUCAAAAUUUGGUGCAAAACGAAGUUGAUUUGACGUGAUUUGGAAGUCCGGUGGUAAAUUUGCAUGUUCUUGAGUUUCUUUGAAAAUAUCAUUCAUUUUGAUGUUUGAUCCAUAGCUCUAGGUGGUAUUUUGUGUUUUGAUCGUGCGAGCGAGUUCGUAUGAUGUUUUUGAACUUGUGUGCAUGUUCAGUUUGGAGCUCGAGGGGCUUGGGUGAGUUUCGAACGCAUAGCGGAGUGUUUGAUAGAGUUAGGAGUCUGCCGGUGUUUUUUGCACAUGCUUAAGUUCUCGCAUUUGCGAUAGUAGGAUGAGCUAUGUCAGGUUCGCAUCUGCGAAAAAAUUGUUAUAAUUUGCGAUGGCGUUCUGGAGGAGCUGGUUUGCAUUUGUGAUCAAAGUGGUCGCACUUGCGGAAUGUCCCACGUUCGUAUUUGCGAACAAAGUAUCAUAUUUCCAAUGCCAACAGAGGUGUGGGGAGUUCUCUUUUGCGAGGACUUAUUCGCAUUUGCAGGGUUUGCAUUUGUGAACCCCAGGUCGCAUUUGCGAUAUCUGCGCCUCGACAAAAAGAUGAGAAAACGGGACUUAGCUCAUUUCUCACAUUUUCUCAACCCUAAACACCCAAGAGGUAAUUUUUCCAAGAGAUGUUCUUCCUAAAUUCAUUGGUAAGUGACUUUAAUCUAUUCCUUUUCAAUUACUCAUUACAUUCCAAAUGUUUUCAAUAUUAAAUCUAGGGUUUUCAUGGUAGAAAUUAGGGAUCUGGGUAGAAUUGGGAUUUUUGUAAAAUUGAGAUUUAGACCUCAAAUUGAGGUCGGAUUUCAAACCUAAUCACAUAAUCACGCAUGGGGGUGAAUGGGUAAUUGGGUUUUGGUCCGAAUCUCGGGUUUUGCACGAAGCGAGCCCGGGGUUAACUUUUGUUGACUUUUUGGGAAAAGGGUAAAGAUCUUUGUUUUAUCUAUUGUAAGUGAUUUCUCUAGCGUUGUUUGAUGAUAUUAAGUUGAUUUUGGUUAGAUUCGAUUGGUUUGGAGGCGAAUUUUAGAGGAAAGGCCCCGGUUUCGCUUUGAUUUGAUUGCAAAGCGAGGUAAGCAUUGGGUCUAACUUUGAUUUGAGGGAAUUAGGAACCCUUGAACUAUAUGUUAUGUGAAUUGUGUGUGUAACAGUGUAUAUGCGAGGUGACAGGUAUAUAUAUGCCGUCAAAAAAGUUAUUUCCAUGCUUUCCUGUAUUUUAUGAAUUUUCUUAUUCUAUGCCUUAACUGUUACAUGCUUUAAUUGCUUUCUAUGCCAUAACUUGUUACUUGUCAUUAAUUGUUCUUGUAUUGAAAUGUUCGUUCCUUCUAUGACUCUAUGAUUAAUUUCUACUUGCCUUAAUUGUCUUACUUGUACACUUUAACUAUCAUAUAUUUGGCUUGUCUUGUUGCUUUCGUAUUAAUUGUAGUAUUUCUUGAUUUAGUACGGGGUUUCUUUACUACUUUGCUUUCAUAUUCUUUAAUCGUAGAGAUUCUUGUGAAUUGAGUUGUUGAAUUGAUUACAUUUGUUGAAUUUGUUUAUGGAUCGGGUUGCACGCCGUAAUGAUUGUGAUAUGGUAGAAUAAGGGAGGAUUUUAUAUGUGAUUUGAUAUUGUGAAAUAUGGGAGGAUUAUGAUAUUAAUUAUGAUGAUAUUGUGGAUAGGGUUGCGCGCCGCAACAUAUUUUAUAUGUGAUUCUUGAUAUUGAUAUGGUACAAUAAGGGAAGAUUGCGUAUUGUACGGUAGGAUCGGAUUGCGCGCCGCAACGGAUUGUGUGUGUUGUAUUCAUUGUUGUUGUUGUGUUGAUUUUUGGUGUUGUUACAUGAAAUUAUGAGAUCGGUUAUUCUGGGUUCUCUGAUACAAGGAUUGCGCCCUUUUUCAUAAGUUAAUUAUCUUAUUCUUCCUAUUUUCCUUACCUUUUUAUUAUUAUUAUACAGCAUGCAGGUUCUUGUAAGUGACCCUCCUUAGCCUCGUCACUACUUCGUCGAGGUUAGGCUCGGCACUUACAGAGUACAUGGGGUCAGUUGUACUCAUACUACACUCUGCACUUCUUGUGCAGAUUUUAGAGUCGGUCACAUCGGUGGUCAGCAGAUUGCUUGGAUAUGGUGCUUGACGGAGACUUGAGAUACAACUGUACGGUGUUCGCAAGCCUGAAGUCCCCUUCUACAUUAUUCUAGCAAUUUAUUUCAUUGCAGAUAGUUAUGCUUUUAUUUAGACUGUUAUUUGUAAUACUCUAGUCACUCGUGCACUUGUGACACCAGUUUUGAUAUUGUAUCUCGAUAUCGCUGUUAUUUUAGCUUAUUCACUCUAUUUCAAUUUAUUUCAUCUUAU